Molecule: ribosomal RNA, 497 nt
Filed under: uncultured bacterium
Lineage: Bacteria
Description: partial 16S ribosomal RNA
Rfam family: Bacterial small subunit ribosomal RNA
Source: RNAcentral
GAUGAACGCUGGCGGCGUGCCUAAUACAUGCAAGUCGAGCGAACAGACGAGGAGCUUGCUCCUCUGACGUUAGCGGCGGACGUGUGAGUCACACGUGGAUAACCUACCUAUAAUACUGGGAUAACUUCGGGAAACCGGAGCUAAUACCGGAUAAUAUAUUGAACCGCAUGGUUCAAUAGUGAAAGACGGUUUUGCUGUCACUUAUAGCUGGAUCCGCGCCGCAUUAGCUAGUUGGUAAGGUAACGGCUUACCAAGGCAACGAUGCGUAGCCGACCUGAGAGGGUGAUAGGCCACACUGGAACUGAGACACGGUCCAGACGACUAAGGGAGGCAGCAGUAGGGAAUCUUCCGCAAUGGGCGAAAGCUUGACGGAGCAACGCCGCGUGAGUGAUGAAGGUCUUCGGAUCGUAAAACUCUGUUAUUAGGGAAGAACAAAUGUGUAAGUAAAUAUGCACGUCUUGACGGUAACUAAUCAGAAAGCCACGGCUAACUACGUG